CAGGAAAGGAAAGUGAUGAAAAAUCAUUCUGCCCUGAAAAGGGGGAGAUGACAGGAGAUGAGAAUAGAUUGCCGAACACACCUUUACUGGUCUCAACACUUCUAACCAUCAAUUGAUCAGAUUCCCUUUGAAUGCCCUUCUCUAUCGAAGUGGCAUGUGGCGUGUGGCGUGUGGUGUGUUGUGUGUGGCUUCUCUCUGCAUCCAACUUACAUCCUUUCACCUAAUCUCGAAACUUGACUUUUCCUCUAUAAAUACCAAGCUAGAGUGAAUAACAUCAUCUCAUCAUCCAAACUCGCAAAACACGCCUCUAAAACCAUAACUAGCAGCUUUUAAUUUUUAAUUCUCAAUCAACGAUGGCAGACAAGUGUGGAAACUGCGACUGUGCUGACCGCAGCCAGUGCACAAAGAAAGGAAACCAAUAUGGAGUUGAGAUCAUUGAGACAGAGUAUCCAGAGUUCGCGAUGAUGGAUGGUGCAGAGAAUGACUGCAAGUGCAAGUGCGGCAGCAGCUGCAGCUGUGCUGACUGCCACUGCCACUGACCACCUGGAAGUAACCUAUACUCAAAUGAUCACCUUAGGGUUCAUUUUGAGCUACAUAGGAAAUAGUAGUCAAAUACGAAAUAUGUUCCUACCGAGAAUAAAAUGUCACACUUCAUUAUCUUCACCUGAGGAGUAUGUUUGAAGUGUCCUAUAUGCGUUCUUUCUUAAAUUACAGUCUUGUAAUGGUUCUAUGUGCCUAGUUGUAGUUAUACUGCUAUAUCAUAUGGGCUUUUAGUACUAUUAACAUAA
Amaranthus tricolor (Joseph's coat) is the source of this 788-nucleotide long non-coding RNA. RefSeq lists it as uncharacterized. The record is from RefSeq and is a predicted model, not a curated record. The transcript is spliced from 3 exons. NCBI's taxonomy places the organism in Eukaryota, Viridiplantae, Streptophyta, Magnoliopsida, Caryophyllales, Amaranthaceae.